This is a long non-coding RNA of Pygocentrus nattereri (red-bellied piranha), 212 nucleotides long. RefSeq lists it as uncharacterized. The transcript has 3 exons. The record is from RefSeq and is a predicted model, not a curated record. NCBI's taxonomy places the organism in Eukaryota, Metazoa, Chordata, Actinopteri, Characiformes, Serrasalmidae.
GUCCUUGUUCAGUCAGUCAUUACUGGGGCAGCAUGGAGCUCAGUCUGCUCUCCCUGAUGCUCUUGCUGGUUGUGCUCAUCCACUGUGGACAAACUCAAGAAAAGCCCAAACUGAGGGUGGAGCCUCAGAGCCCAGACACAGUUACUCUGAGCUGUGAGCUGCCACAGUCUACUGGAUGGACGAUUAUAUGGGAGAAAAACUCUGAUGUUUUA